Candidatus Desantisbacteria bacterium CG1_02_49_89 is the source of this 84-nucleotide non-coding RNA. NCBI's taxonomy places the organism in Bacteria, Candidatus Desantisiibacteriota. The record is from Rfam.
GGGGAGAUGCCCGAGAGGUUAAAGGGAAUGGGCUGUAAACCCAUUAGCCGUAGGCUUUCGAAGGUUCGAAUCCUUCUCUCCCCA